This 752-nucleotide small RNA is filed under the name Pongo abelii (Sumatran orangutan). RNAcentral's name for it is "processed transcript". The record is from RNAcentral. Lineage: Eukaryota; Metazoa; Chordata; Mammalia; Primates; Hominidae.
CCAGCCGAGCUCUGGUCGUUGCAGAGCAUGAGAAGAAGCAGAAGCUGGAGACGGACGCCAUGUUCCGGCUGGAGCACGGCGAGGCCGACCGCAGCACACUCAAGAAGGCGCUGCCCACCCUGAGCCACAUCCAGGAGGCCCAGAGCGCCUGGAAGGACGACUUCGCCCUCAACAGCAUGCUGCGGAGAAGGUUCCGGCAGCUCCAGGAGGGCAAGGGUUUUUCCCUGCCUGCCGCUGUAUCCCCAGUGUCUAGAACAAAGCCUAGCACAAGGAAAAGAAAAAAGCCAUCCAGGAGGAGGAGGAGAGAGACCAGGCCUUGCAGGCCAAGGCGAGCCUGACUAUCCCACUGGUGCCCGAGACGGAAGAUGACCGCAAGCUGGCGGCUCUGCUGAAGUUCCACACCCUGGACUCCUACGAGGACAAGCAGAAACUCAAGCGGACCGAGAUCAUCAGCCGCUCCUGGUUCCCCUCCGUCCCCGGAUCCGCCUCCAGCAGCAAGGCCAGCGGCGUCCUGAAGAAGCUGGCACAGAGCCGCAGAACCGCACUUGCCACCUCCCCCAUCACCGUGGGGGACCUGGGCAUCGUGCGGCGGAGGUCUCGGGACGUCCCGGAGAGCCCCCAGCAUGCGGCCGACACCCCCAAAUCUAGGGAACCGCGGGUACCAGAGGAGGCUACCCAGGACCGGCCCAUGUCCCCCGGAGACUGUCCUCCGGAAACAGCUGAGACCCCCAAGUGCAGCAGGCCGAGGGGGC